CUUUCUGUGGAAUGGACACAGAGAGGGUUAAAAAAAGUUCGAUGAGAGGUCAGAGGAAAAGGAUUCGACAGCCUGAAGAUGAGCCCGCAGUUCCAAGUGGCCUGGAGGAGAAAAUUUGGCACUUUAUGAAAACCAUCAGGGAAUCAGGGAGACAUAACCCAACCAAGACAGAGACACAGAGAGGGUCAGGUGGGGAGGCCAGAGGACUGGCAGAGAAGAAAAGAGACACAUAUUGUCAGACACAUCCACACACGGAAAGAGGGCACCUCUGGGAGGGUAGUGGAUUAGAGAGGAGAAGAAGCCAGGUGUGUGGGGGAAGCGGAAAAAAAGGGAGCAGGGAAGGAGGCUGUCUCCGAAGAGACACAACCCCAAAAAGGGCUGCAACUGGACCAGCGCAUUACAGGGGCAGUGAGCUUGGCCGUGCAUGCAAAUGA
Molecule: long non-coding RNA, 434 nt
Filed under: Phascolarctos cinereus (koala)
Lineage: Eukaryota; Metazoa; Chordata; Mammalia; Diprotodontia; Phascolarctidae
Description: lncRNA (ENSPCIG00000036701.1)
Source: RNAcentral